GUGAGGAAUAUUGCGCAAUGGAGGCAACUCUGACGCAGCCAUGCCGCGUGCAGGAAGAAGGCGCUACGCGUUGUAAACUGCUUUUAACCGGGAAGAAACCCCAGGACGUGUCCUGGGUUGACGGUACCGGAGGAAUAAGCACCGGCUAACUUCGUGCCAGCAGCCGCGGUAAUACGAAGGGUGCAAGCGUUAUCCGGAUUCAUUGGGUUUAAAGGGUGCGUAGGCGGAGCGUUAAGUCAGUGGUGAAAUCCUGCAGCUUAACUGUAGGCUUGCCAUUGAUACUGGCGCUCUUGAGUGCGCUUGAAGUGGGCGGAAUGUGCCGUGUAGCGGUGAAAUGCUUAGAUAUGGCACAGAACACCAAUUGCGAAGGCAGCUCACUAAGGCGAUACUGACGCUGAGGCACGAAAGCGUGGGGAUCGAACAGGAUUAGAAACCCCAGUAGUCC
This 445-nucleotide ribosomal RNA is filed under the name uncultured bacterium. RNAcentral's name for it is "partial 16S ribosomal RNA". It matches the Rfam family "Bacterial small subunit ribosomal RNA", at positions 354 to 796 of the family's 1533-position model. The record is from RNAcentral.